UAGCCGUAAACGAUACUCGCUAGGUGUCGGCCACGGUGCGACCGUUGUCGGUGCCGUAGGGAAGCCGUGAAGCGAGCCACCUGGGAAGUACGGCCGCAAGGCCGAAACUUAAAGGAAUUGGCGGGGGAGCACCACAACGGGUGGAGCUUGCGGUUUAAUUGGAUUCAACGCCGGGAAGCUCACCGGAUAAGACGGCGGAAUGAUUGCCGGGCUGAAGACCCUGCAUGACCAGCUGAGAGGAGGUGCAUGGCGUAGUCGUGU
This 261-nucleotide ribosomal RNA is filed under the name uncultured archaeon. RNAcentral's name for it is "partial 16S ribosomal RNA". It matches the Rfam family "Archaeal small subunit ribosomal RNA", at positions 748 to 1009 of the family's 1478-position model. The record is from RNAcentral.